Molecule: ribosomal RNA, 482 nt
Filed under: uncultured bacterium
Lineage: Bacteria
Description: partial 16S ribosomal RNA
Rfam family: Bacterial small subunit ribosomal RNA
Source: RNAcentral
AUUGAACGCUGGCGGCAUGCCUUACAUAUGCAAGUCGAACGGUAACAGGUCUUCGGAUGCUGACGAGUGGCGAACGGGUGAGUAAUACAUCGGAACGUGCCCGAUCGUGGGGGAUAACGGAGCGAAAGCUUUGCUAAUACCGCAUACGAUCUACGGAUGAAAGCAGGGGACCGCAAGGCCUUGCGCGGACGGAGCGGCCGAUGGCAGAUUAGGUAGUUGGUGGGAUAAAAGCUUACCAAGCCGACGAUCUGUAGCUGGUCUGAGAGGACGACCAGCCACACUGGGACUGAGACACGGCCCAGACUCCUACGGGAGGCAGCAGUGGGGAAUUUUGGACAAUGGGCGAAAGCCUGAUCCAGCCAUGCCGCGUGCAGGAUGAAGGCCUUCGGGUUGUAAACUGCUUUUGUACGGAACGAAAAGACUCUUUCUAAUAAAGAGGGUCCAUGACGGUACCGUAAGAAUAAGCACCGGCUAACUACGUG